Molecule: ribosomal RNA, 254 nt
Filed under: uncultured bacterium
Lineage: Bacteria
Description: partial 16S ribosomal RNA
Rfam family: Bacterial small subunit ribosomal RNA
Source: RNAcentral
UACGAAGGUCCCGAGCGUUAUCCGGAUUUAUUGGGUUUAAAGGGUGCGUAGGCUGCGAGGAGGGUGGGGUGUGAAAUCCCUCGGCCUAACCGAGGAAUUGCGCUCCAAACCGCCUUGCUGGAGUGAGACAGAGGUGAGCGGAACUAAUGGUGGAGCGGUGAAAUGCGUUGAUAUCAUUAGGAACACCAGAGGCGAAGGCGGCUCACUGGGUCUCGAACUGACGCUGAUGCACGAAAGCUAGGGUAGCGAACGGG